GAUGAACGCUGGCGGCGUGCCUAAUACAUGCAAGUCGAGCGAACAGACGAGGCGCUUGCGCCUCGCACGUGUGCCGCGGACGUGUGAGAAACGCGAGUAUACCCUCCCUGUCAGACUGAUAUCACUACGAGAAACCGGCUCUUAUACCGUAUAAUCUCUUGAACCACAUGGUUCGAUGGUAAAAUUCGGUGUUUCUGUCACUUCUAGAUGCAUCCGGGCCGCAUUAGGUGGUUGGUAAGGUAACGGGUUACCACGGCGACGAGGCGUAGCCGAACUGAGGGGGUGAUCGGCCACACGGGAACUGAGACACGGUCCAGACUCCUACGGUAGGCAGCAGAAGGGAAUCUGCCGCAAUGGGCGAAAGCCUGACGGAGCAAGGCGGCGUGAGUGAUGAAGGUCUUCGGAUCGUAAAAAUCUGUUAUUAGGGAAGAACAAAUGUGUAAGGAACUAUGCACGUAUUGACGGUACCUAAUCAGAAAGCCACGGCUAACUACGUG
This 497-nucleotide ribosomal RNA is filed under the name uncultured bacterium. RNAcentral's name for it is "partial 16S ribosomal RNA". It matches the Rfam family "Bacterial small subunit ribosomal RNA", at positions 28 to 507 of the family's 1533-position model. The record is from RNAcentral.